RNAcentral lists this unclassified non-coding RNA (266 nucleotides) under uncultured Tylopilus. RNAcentral describes it as "sequence contains ITS2". The record is from RNAcentral. Lineage: Eukaryota; Fungi; Basidiomycota; Agaricomycetes; Boletales; Boletaceae.
AAUUCUCAACCAUGUCUCGAUCGAUUUCGAGCCAUGGCUUGGAGUGUGGGGGGUUUGCUGGCCUUUCUCUAGGUCAGCUCUCCUGAAAUGCAUUAGCGAUCUGGCGAGCUUGGUCCUGGAGCGCACGGCCUUUCGACGUGAUAAUGAUCGUCGUGGGGCUGGAACUUUGGACCUUGCACAAAGCGAGUUCGCUUCCAACUUCAUGUGGAAGUCAUGCAUGCAUGUGCUGGCGAGGCCAUGUGUGUGUUGUACGCCACCGAUCGAAA